GGUAAUGCCGGAUGCUCCGACUCCUCGCAUGGGGUGUCGGGAAAGAUUUCAUUGGUAUGGGAUGGGGUCGCGUCCUAUCAGGUAGUCGGCGGGGUAACGGCCCACCGAGCCUACGACGGGUAGCCGGCCUGAGAGGGCGACCGGCCACAUUGGGACUGAGAUACGGCCCAGACUCCUACGGGAGGCAGCAGUGGGGAAUAUUGCACAAUGGGCGCAAGCCUGAUGCAGCGACGCCGCGUGCGGGAUGACGGCCUUCGGGUUGUAAACCGCUUUUGAUCGGGAGCAAGCCUUCGGGUGAGUGUACCUUUCGAAUAAGCACCGGCUAACUACGUGCCAGCAGCCGCGGUAAUACGUAGGGUGCAAGCGUUAUCCGGAAUUAUUGGGCGUAAAGGGCUCGUAGGCGGUUCGUCGCGUCCGGUGUGAAAGUCCAUCGCUUAACGGUGGAUCUGCGCCGGGUACGGGCGGGCUGGAGUGCGGUAGGGGAGACUGGAAUUCCCGGUGUAACGGUGGAAUGU
This 515-nucleotide ribosomal RNA is filed under the name Bifidobacterium pseudocatenulatum. RNAcentral's name for it is "bacterial SSU rRNA". It matches the Rfam family "Bacterial small subunit ribosomal RNA", at positions 162 to 689 of the family's 1533-position model. Lineage: Bacteria; Bacillati; Actinomycetota; Actinomycetes; Bifidobacteriales; Bifidobacteriaceae. The record is from RNAcentral.